Molecule: long non-coding RNA, 941 nt
Organism: Bombus impatiens (common eastern bumble bee)
Lineage: Eukaryota; Metazoa; Arthropoda; Insecta; Hymenoptera; Apidae
Exons: 3
Source: RefSeq, a predicted model, not a curated record
CGGCACACAGAGUACUCGUUGCCAUUUCGUUUACUGGUCACUCACGGCAUGAUUCGGACGAGCGACGAUGCGGCUCGAUCUUACCAUCGAUAAAACGGUACAAUUUAAUUUAAUUCAAUUCAACCACGGUCGAUAGUAACGCAGUCAAAUUUAUCGCCGUAAAUACUGAUGGUAUUAAAAAUUGAUGUGUGCACCUGGUGAUUCGAUUCGUGUGUAACGUAGAAAGAUUAAUAGAGAAUCAAUGUUUAUCUGGAUGGUUUAAUUAUGCAGUGAGUCGAACGAUAUAUGACCGUUUACUUGUGAUUGCAGACAUUAAUCAGUUAAUCAUGGAAGUUACAAUGAUUUACUUGCAGUUGUAAAUCAAUUAAAUGGAAGUUUUCCUUUCGCGUGUAUCAAAAGAUAAAUAAUAGUACGAAUGAUAAAUAAUUAUAAUCUGUAGGUAUAAGUACACGUUAAAACAUCAUUAAUCAGUUUAUCAUACCAUACACGAUAAUAAUUUAUAAACAUGAGGAUAUAAAUCGUAAAAUAAGGAUAAAGAACGUAAAUCAUCUGAGGAAGUUAGGAAUACUGUUAUUGUGGGAUAAAAUGGAUAUUGAGAUUAUUAUUCGACGUUGUCCUAGAACUUUCAAGAAAAACACUCGAUAAAUGUGUCAACAAGCGCUGCUUGAACAAUUAAAUAACAAGUUCCAUAAAGUAACCUCGAUCAUUAUGUGCUCUAAUGAACCGCCCUUCGUUCAUUCUUAUUUCCUUAGAUUCGCAAACCAAAUAAAUAGAACGCAAGAUAUCAGAAGAAGAACAGUGAAAUUGCUAGAUCCGGUUGCCUGGUGAGCUUUAGUUUGACAAAUCAGAUGCCCGAUACCCACGCCACCUACUACUGCUUUAAAAAUAAAUAAAACUGGAUGCUGUCGCUAUACAACACGAAAGAAGAGGUUAAUCGCUGA